AGCAGCCGCGGUAAUUCCAGCUCCAAUAGCGUAUAUUAAAGUUGCUGCAAGUUAAAAAGCUCGUAGUUGAAUUUCGGGACCAUCAUGUCGGUCGUGCCUCGGUACGUACUGGCAUUGUUGGUUUCUCCCUUCUGACGAACCAUGAUGUCAUUAAUUUGGUGUCAUGGGGAAUCAGGACUAGUUACUUUGAAAAAUUAGAGUGUUUAAAGCAGGCUCACGCUUGAAUACAUUAGCAUGGAAUAAUGAAAUAGGACGUUUGAUUCUAUUUUGUUGGUUUCUAGGAUCGACGUAAUGAUUAAUAGGGAUAUUGGGGGCAUUAGUAUUCAAUUGUCAGAGGUGAAAUUCUUGGAUUUAUUGAAGACUAACUACUGCGAAAGCAUUUGCCUAAGGAUGUUUUCAUUAAUCAAGAACGAAAGUUAGGGGAUCGAAGACGAUCAGAUACCGUCGUAG
Molecule: ribosomal RNA, 450 nt
Filed under: uncultured Glomeromycotina
Lineage: Eukaryota; Fungi; Glomeromycota
Description: SSU rRNA
Rfam family: Eukaryotic small subunit ribosomal RNA
Source: RNAcentral